AUACGUAGGGAGCGAGCGUUGUCCGGAAUUACUGGGUGUAAAGGGUGCGUAGGCGGGACUGCAAGUCAGAUGUGAAAUGCCGGGGCUCAAACCCGGAGCUGCAUUUGAAACUGUGGUUCUUGAGUGAGGUAGAGGUAAGCGGAAUUCCUAGUGUAGCGGUGAAAUGCGUAGAUAUUAGGAGGAACAUCGGUGGCGAAGGCGGCUUACUGGGCCUUUACUGACGCUGAGACACGAAAGCGUGGGGAGCAAACAGGAUUAGAUACCCUGGUAGUCCACGCUGUAAACGAUGAUGACUAGGUGUGGGGGGACUGAACCCUUCCGUGCCGCAGUUAACACAAUAAGUCAUCCACCUGGGGAGUACGGCCGCAAGGUUGAAACUCAAAUGAAUUGACGGGG
RNAcentral lists this ribosomal RNA (396 nucleotides) under uncultured bacterium. Its description in RNAcentral is "partial 16S ribosomal RNA". It matches the Rfam family "Bacterial small subunit ribosomal RNA", at positions 523 to 918 of the family's 1533-position model. The record is from RNAcentral.